UACGGGGGGGGGCAAGCGUUGUUCGGAAUUACUGGGCGUAAAGGGCUCGUAGGCGGCCAACUAAGUCGGAUGUGAAAUCCCCAGGCUUAACCUGGGAACUGCAUCCGAUACUGGAUGGCUUGAAUCCGGGAGAGGGAUGCAGAAUUCCAGGUGUAGCGGUGAAAUGCGUAGAUAUCAGGAGGAACACCGGUGGCGAAGGCGGAUCUCUGGGCCGAUACUGACGCUGAGGAGCGAAAGCGUGGGGAGCGAACAGG
Molecule: ribosomal RNA, 254 nt
Filed under: uncultured bacterium
Lineage: Bacteria
Description: partial 16S ribosomal RNA
Rfam family: Bacterial small subunit ribosomal RNA
Source: RNAcentral